Panicum virgatum (switchgrass) is the source of this 3021-nucleotide long non-coding RNA. RefSeq lists it as uncharacterized. The record is from RefSeq and is a predicted model, not a curated record. NCBI's taxonomy places the organism in Eukaryota, Viridiplantae, Streptophyta, Magnoliopsida, Poales, Poaceae. The transcript is spliced from 2 exons.
CACACCCCCACCCAUCGCCCCCAAACCAGUCCUGCGCCUGCGCCGGCGCCGGUGGCGAGAUCCAGCGCACCCCUUCCGCGCAGAGCGCACCCGGGCGCGGCUUGGAUCCCAGGCGGUACGCCCUCCCGCGCACUCGAGCGGCGGCGGGAUCCCAGGCGGCGCGCCCUCCCACACCCUCGAGCAUGGACGGCGACGAUGCCCGUGGUUUGCACCAGCCGCUGUUCUCCAUUGAGUUCCCGUUCUUCGCCGCCACCAGGUGGGGAUGGAGACGCCGCUCACGAGAUGGACGCCGACGGUGGGGAGCUCCGCCUCGCUCCCUUCGGCGACAGCUGCGCGCUCGUCUCCGUCCUCUUCAGCAGCCUCGGCAUGGCCUUCAGGUUCGCCAAGAUCGAGUACGUCACCAAGGUGAGCGCAGACACCGCUGUGGACUAGCUCUUUGUACUCCAAAAAAUUGAUUCUUAUUGUGCCCCUCUCAGUUUGGAUCUCACCGUGGGGAAAACAGUCGCAUUUUUUUCUAUGUUCUGCAUCUUUGUGUGGUGGUGGUGUUUUUAUGCAUUUUCUGUUCAGCUACUCAGUGUACUUCCAUGCCAACACAUCAUACUUCCUAUGAACUGAACAUGCAUGCUAUUUUUUCGCCCUUUUUGUAUGGUUCUAUGCUUAAACCCACAGCUUUCAUGACUUCUGAUAUGAGGCAGCGUAGAUAGUUAUUUCAAAUUUCAAACUUUAGGGAUAAAAGAAAAUAGCUUAAACACUUUUUGUGAUUGUGUUAGUGGUUUUCUAUGACUGUCCUAACGGGAUUCUAUGUCUCUUGGCUAGUGGAGCAGAGCCUCGUCAAUCUCGGCAACUGGCGCUCACAUAGAUUUCUAUUACAUUUCUUGAAACCCAUCUGGGGAGUGUAGAAUUUCUUUUUAUGUUCAUGUAUAGAAACCCCAUCUGGAAAGCAUAGAAUUUGCUGGUAUGUUCAUCUAUAGAAACACCAUCACUUUGGCCUAUUUUUUUAAAAUCAUAUAUACGUUUGUGUUUGUGCAUAGAUACUAUUAGUUGACUAUGUGCCCAUGCUUGCAAUAAUAUACAUGCUAGUGUCUGAACAUAGAUACUAUCUGCUUCUAUGCAUAAAUCAUAGUAUCAUACACAUGCUACCCAUGUUUUUAUGAUUGCCCUCACCGGCUUUUACGCCUUUUGUUAUCGAGGUGGAUCCAAUUGAUGACAGCUCCCACAAUGCGUCAUAUAUUUGUCUAGUACUUUCCUCUCUUGUUUAUAUGAUCGUCCUCACUGGUUUAUAUAUCUGCCAAUACUCCCAACACUAUUUAUAUGUAUGGUAGUUUUCCAUCAUAUACAAGUAGCUGCAUAUAUAUGUAUGACUGCAAUCAUAUAUUUGUUAAGGUGAUUUUCCUUUCUGAUUAUAUUCAUCUACUCAUGAGAUUUCUAUGUUAACAUAGCACCCUUUCUACACAGGCUGUAGGGAAUGGGAAUGUAUUUUCAGGCCUAGCUCUGCUAUUCGGUCGCAGUAGAUUUGGACAGGUUUAUUUAUGAACAGAAAUAGGAUGGUUCUUUAUGAUCACAUUCCAUUUUUGGUACUCCGUUAGAGCAUCCAUUCCUAUCGAAUGCAUGCUUCUAUGCUUGGCCUUACCGGUUUCUAUGCAUUCCUAUCUUAUGUUUCUAUGAUUGCCCUCACUGGUUUUUAUACCUUUUGUUGCUUCAUGUAGUUGCUUAGAGCAUCUCCAAGAGACUCUGUAAAAGAUUCUAGGUAGGUAAAUUUUUUAGAAAAUCUCCUAAAAUUGUCAUCCAAUAGACUCUUCAUCUCCAUCCGCUCGGUAUCUAGCCCGGCAAAGUCCACCCUCCGCUCGGAAUCUUCGCUGAGCCAGCCCCGUUCGGUAUCUCGCGCUCAAGCCCGCUUCCGGCUCCCGCGGGGCCAAAUCGUUGAGUCCGUCGUCAUUGAGGCCACCGUCGAGUCCGCCGUCGUCGAGGCCACAGUCCAGCCCGCCGUCGUUGAGGUGGCACGAGAUCCCGGGGGGCUCCAUCUCCCGGCGCAGUGCGGCGCGGGCUCCCGGCGAAGGCCGUGCGCCGGCUCCAUGGCGGAGGCCGCCUUGGUCUCCCGGUGGAGGACGGCGCGGGCUCCGCGGCAGGGGGCGAAUCGGCGGUGGCCGCUACGCUGGAGGCGGUAGCGGGUCAAAUCGGCGGGGGGGGGGGGGGGCAAUCGGUUGCGGCGGGGUCCAAUCGACGCCGGCGGCGGCGCUAGAGGCAUCGGCGGCGGCGAGGGUGGCGCUGGAGGCGGAGACGAGAGGCUGUGGUGUGCUUCCGUGCUUCUGCCAUGGAUGGGGGAGCAGAAGGAGGGGUGCGGUCGGCAGAUGGUGUUGUGAGGCCCGCAUGACAAUGACUCGGAGGGAGGAGAGUUUGAUAUGAAGUGGAAAAUUUUACUAGUCUGUUGGUUCCUUCACUCCUUGAAUAGCUAAAUGGUAAGCGAAAUGACUAGCAAAAAGAAAUUUAGCUAGCGUAAUUUAACUAGUUUUUUGGAGAUGCUCUUAGAUGUAUGUGAUUGCAAUCAUAUAUUUGUUUCUAUGACUGCACUCACUGAAUUUUAUGCCUUUUUUUUUUAUUGUGAGGUGUGUUGCUGACGAGGAUCUGCCGACGACUCCCUCAGCUGCAAGCUAGCAUCAUAGUCCUCACCAACGAAAUGCAAGCAUCUUUGAUUUUGUAUAGCUGGCAUGUUACUGUGAUUUCUAUGAGCCAAUUAUGUUCAAAAUUCAAAUUUUCCCAGCCCUACCUGUUAUAUGCAAUUCUAUGGGUGUAUCCCUCUAUGACCUGUAUUGUUGCCUUCUAUGACAUGUAUCUCUGUCUUCUAUGACACUGUAUUGAGUACAAAAUGAUGUGCAUCGCUGCUUUCUAUGACCUGUAUGGCGGUCUCAUAUGACUCCACAUAGCUUCAACGUAUGUAUUUCUGCGCCAGUUUGAUUCAAAUUCGAAUGUAUAAGAACCUUAAAAGCUAUUAUAUGUAAAGUCUAUGAUAUCUACUGGAAUUUC